RNAcentral lists this transfer RNA (99 nucleotides) under Cupriavidus plantarum. RNAcentral describes it as "tRNA-Ala". Lineage: Bacteria; Pseudomonadati; Pseudomonadota; Betaproteobacteria; Burkholderiales; Burkholderiaceae. The record is from RNAcentral.
GCGGCGUUGUGGGCGAUCGGCGCCUUGGCGUGGCGGCACGCGGCCGCGCGGGUGCGGGCGACGCUCGAACGCAUCCAGUUCGAAACCGGAGGUGUCGCA